This is a long non-coding RNA of Panicum virgatum (switchgrass), 2726 nucleotides long. RefSeq lists it as uncharacterized. The transcript is spliced from 4 exons. The record is from RefSeq and is a predicted model, not a curated record. Lineage: Eukaryota; Viridiplantae; Streptophyta; Magnoliopsida; Poales; Poaceae.
GCGGUCCACGGCAGGGAAAGGUCAGCUGCAGCCCGCGGCCGUGCCUCCCCUCUCCACCCCUGACUCCACCGUGGUAGUCCGCCGUGUCCGUCCCUCCCUGCCUGCCUGUUCGCCGCCCCCCUUGGUAUUCAGCCAACAGCCAUUCAGGAUGGCUAGGACAGAGGGGCAGGCUGCUGUGGAUGCCCAAGUGCCUGCAAGUGAUAACCAAAGUGAGUAUGUGUUUCACCUUAAGAGAAAAUCAAAUGACAUUGGAUGGAAUUGGGGUAGCCUAUGUGAUCCAAAUGACAAGAAUAGAUUGAAGUGCCUACUUUGUGGCAAUGAGAAUAGUGGAGGCAUUAAUCGAUUCAAACAGCACCUUGCACAUGAAGGGACUGCAGUGGUCCAUUGCACCAAAGUGACUGAUGAAAUUAAAAAAUUGCAAAGAAGAUCUUGACCGACCAAAAAAGAAGAAAAGGGAGAAGCAGAGGGCAGAGGCAGAUCUGAGAGAAGAUGUGGUAAUUACAGGGAGUAGAGAAGGAUCAGAUGCUGAAUCUAAGGCUGCAAGCUCAUCAGGUGGUUCCCCAACUCAAAAACUAGGUCCCAUGGAUCGAUGGACACGACCUAUUAAUCCUAAAGCAACCAAAGAAGAAGCCAAGAGGCAACAAAGUUUAAAUGAAGCACUUUGGAAGGAGAGGACACAUCAAGUUCAUCAAUAUAUUGCUAGAUGGGUAUACACUCAUGGUAUACCAUUCAAUGCUGUUGACAAUGAUGAGUUCAUAGAGAUGGUUGAGGCCAUUGGUUCCUUUGGUCCUGGUUUGAGACCUCCUUCCCAAUAUGACCUUCGAGAGAAAUUGUUGAAGGAGGAGCAUGCAAGAAUGAAAACUUUGUUGCUGAACCGUGAAGAAGAAAAGAACAAGAAUGGUUGUUCAGUCAUGACUGAUGCUUGGACAGAUAUGAAGAGGAGGAGUAUAAUGAAUCUGUGCACACAUACUUCAGAAGGGCAAGUUUCAUGAAGUCCAAGGAGAUGUCAGAUGUAUCACACACAAGUGAGGUCAUAUUUGAGUUAGUGGACAAAGCAAUUGAUGAAUUAGGAGCAGAAAAUGUGGUGCAAGUUGUGACAGAUAAUGCUCUAAUAACAUGGGAGCAAAAACAUUGAUGUUAGAGAAGAGGCCUAACAUUUUUUGGAGCUCUUGUGCAACUCAUACAAUCAAUUUGAUGCUCCAAGGCAUUGGUAGCCUGCCAAGGUUUAAGAAAACAAUUGACCAAGCAAAGGCGUUCACUAUUUUUGUGUAUGGGCAUCAUCGAACCUUGGCAUGUAUGCGGUCUUUCACUUUGAAGAAGGAUAUUAUAAGGCCAGGGGUGACUAGAUUUGCCACCAGCUACCUUACUUUGCAAAGUUUGAUGGAAAAAAGAGAUGCACUAAGGAAGAUGGUGGUUGAUCCAAAAUGGGAUGAAAUACCGAUGUGAAGACAAGAAAGGGAAAAGAUGCAAUAGCCACUAUGCUGAGUGUUCCCUUCUGGAAAAGUGUAGCACUUUGCCUAAAGGUUUUUGAACCUUUGGUGAGGCUACUUCGUUUGGUUGAUGGGGAUGUGAGGCCAGCCAUGGCUUUUCUUUAUGGUGAGCUAAUUAAGGCAAAGAAGGAGAUCAAGGAAGCCUUUGGCAAUGUGGAGACUAACUAUAAAGAUGUCAUGGCUAUUGUUGACAAGAAGAUGAAGGGCAGACUUGAUUCCAGCUUGCAUGUUGCUGCAUACUUGCUGAAUCCAUACUACUCCUAUAGAGAUGCUGCCAUCUUUGAUGAUUCAAGUGUUGUGGAAAAGUUCAUGCUUUGUUGUGAGACAUUUUUCGAAGGUGAUGAAGAAAAAGAGUACUUGGCUGUCAAUGAAGAUUUUGACAAGUUUCAGACGAAGCAAGGUUCCUUUGGAAAGAAGAUGGCAAGAAGUUGUGAAUGAUUUGAGUUCAACCCUGCAUCUUGGUGGAGGCUCUAUGGAGGUGGAGCACCAAAUUUGCAACGCAUGGCUUCUCGAAUCCUCUCAUUGACAGCAAGAUCCUCCAGAUGUGAAAGGAAUUGGAGCACUUUUGAGUUUAUACAUACCAAGAGAAGAAAUAGACUAACAACAGAGUGCCUCAACAUGCUAGUCUACGUGCAAUUUAAUACAAGGCUGCUGUCCAAGAAGGAGAAAACCAGCAACAAGAAAUCUUAUGAAGUCCUCCUAAGCAAGGAUGCUGCUGAAGCACAAGGUUUUUUUAUGAGAGAGGGGAUGAACAAGCUUUGGUGGUGUUUAGGGACCCCGAUGAGGCUGAGGCUGAAGUUCCUGGAACUGGGAUGACAUGGCGUAUCCUUGGAGAUGCAGUGGGAGCAGAUGAGCAGCUUCAACCUCGUAGGAGUGGAAGGAAUUAGCCUAGAGAUUUACAUGAAGAAGAAGAGUUCGAAUCCGAAGACGACAGUGACUAUGAGGAAGAGCAAAUUCCUUUUGAGGAUGAUGAAGAUGAAAUACUAGGAGCAAAUUCCUUUGAGGAUUGAAGCUGUCUGGACUGUGGGCUGCUGCAUGUUGUGUUUGCCUAUCAUAUUUUGCUUGAUUGUGCUAUGUACCAUCAGCUGCUAGCUGCUGCUAUGACUUUUAAGUUUUUAUUUUCUUUGAGUUUGAAGUUUGAACUAUGAACUAUGCUAUGUCGUUAUGUGCUACUUCAUGUGGUGUGCUACAGUCUGCAGCUGUUAAUUUUAUCAUGCUCAUUGUCAUUCGUUCUUA